UUAUAGCCCCGGUAGUAGCGGCGUCCUGUUGUGGCGGGUUUCGCCACAACAGAUAGAGCAAAUAACGGGACAAAUC
This 76-nucleotide non-coding RNA is filed under the name unclassified sequences. RNAcentral's name for it is "Flavo-1 RNA". It matches the Rfam family "Flavo-1 RNA". RNAcentral also lists the same sequence under 1 other name. The record is from RNAcentral.